Molecule: long non-coding RNA, 308 nt
Filed under: Neodiprion pinetum (white pine sawfly)
Lineage: Eukaryota; Metazoa; Arthropoda; Insecta; Hymenoptera; Diprionidae
Description: uncharacterized LOC124216424
Source: RNAcentral
GAGCCGCCGCUUGGAGGGGAGCUGCGAAACGAUCGCAGCGCGCGGGGUGGCGAGUAGUGAGUUGAGCCAGCGUGUGUUGUGAUAGCAUUUUGUAUGAGAAACAAUAGACGGUAUGUGGAAUUACACUUGUUGUGCUGUUAACUGCGAAAAUAACGGUAAAACUAGUGAUUGUAUAUUUUACAAGUUUCCAACUGCAUCACAUAAAAUAGUUCAAAGGCAAAAAUGGAUUGCUGCUGUGAAAAGAAAAAAAAAAAAUCAGAUGAUCCUGCGAGUCCAAGCUACGCGCCAACUCUAUUCCCUCCAGUUUA